ACCAUUUCCCAGACUGAUUAUGAACCACUUAAUAGCGAGCCCUCGAAGUUUAAGAGCUUAAGAGAACAAGUUCGGUUCCAGAGCAAUAAAUUUCUCACACCCAAGCCUCCUUCACCUUUGGGGGAGGGCAGACCAAGGUAUCUUAUGGGC
Long non-coding RNA from Arabidopsis lyrata subsp. lyrata, 150 nucleotides. RefSeq lists it as uncharacterized. The record is from RefSeq and is a predicted model, not a curated record. The transcript is spliced from 3 exons. Lineage: Eukaryota; Viridiplantae; Streptophyta; Magnoliopsida; Brassicales; Brassicaceae.